CAUAUUUAGUAUAUUAAAUAUAUUAGAUUUAGGUUCUGAAGAAAGUCAUAUGCU
Molecule: transfer RNA, 54 nt
Filed under: Macropostrongyloides dissimilis
Lineage: Eukaryota; Metazoa; Nematoda; Chromadorea; Rhabditida; Strongylidae
Description: tRNA-Leu
Source: RNAcentral